RNAcentral lists this ribosomal RNA (253 nucleotides) under uncultured bacterium. Its description in RNAcentral is "partial 16S ribosomal RNA". It matches the Rfam family "Bacterial small subunit ribosomal RNA", at positions 524 to 776 of the family's 1533-position model. The record is from RNAcentral.
UACGGGGGGGGCAAGCGUUGUUCGGAAUUACUGGGCGUAAAGGGCUCGUAGGCGGCCAACUAAGUCAGACGUGAAAUCCCUCGGCUUAACCGGGGAACUGCGUCUGAUACUGGAUGGCUAGAGGUUGGGAGAGGGAUGCGGAAUUCCAGGUGUAGCGGUGAAAUGCGUAGAUAUCUGGAGGAACACCGGUGGCGAAGGCGGCAUCCUGGACCAAUUCUGACGCUGAUGAGCGAAAGCCAGGGGAGCAAGCGGG